Molecule: long non-coding RNA, 266 nt
Filed under: Hordeum vulgare
Lineage: Eukaryota; Viridiplantae; Streptophyta; Magnoliopsida; Poales; Poaceae
Description: long non-coding RNA (HVUL_LNC021566)
Source: RNAcentral
UGACGUUGUUGUCAUCGUCGUCGUUGCUGUUUUUGCCAUUCUUGUCGUUUUUGUCGUAGUAAUUGUUGUUGUCGUUGUCGUUGUUCUCGUUGUAGUCGUUGUUGUCGUUGUUAUCGUCGUUGUUGUUGUUGUUGUUGUUGUCGUUGCUGUCGCUGUUGUCAUUGUUCUCGGUGUUGUCAUUGUUUUUUUGUUAUUGUUGUUGUCGUAGUUGUCAUUGUUGUCGUUGUUCUCGUGAUUGUCAUCAUUGUCGUUGUUGCCAUCGUUGU